AGUCGAGGGGUAUAGUAGCAAUACUAGAGACCGGCGCACGGGUGCGUAACGCGUAUGCAAUCUACCUUUUGCAGAGGGAUAGCCCAGAGAAAUUUGGAUUAAUACCUCAUAGUAUAACGACUCGGCAUCGAGAUGUUAUUAAAGUCACAACGGCAAAAGAUGAGCAUGCGUCCCAUUAGUUAGUUGGUAAGGUAACGGCUUACCAAGACUACGAUGGGUAGGGGUCCUGAGAGGGAGAUCCCCCACACUGGUACUGAGACACGGACCAGACUCCUACGGGAGGCAGCAGUGAGGAAUAUUGGACAAUGGGCGCAAGCCUGAUCCAGCCAUGCCGCGUGCAGGAUGACGGUCCUAUGGAUUGUAAACUGCUUUUGCACAGGAAGAAACAACGCUACGUGUAGCGUCUUGACGGUACUGUGAGAAUAAGGAUCGGCUAACUCCGUGCCAGCAGCCGCGGUAAUACGGAGGAUCCAAGCGUUAUCCGGAAUCAUUGGGUUUAAAGGGUCCGUAGGCGGUCUUAUAAGUCAGUGGUGAAAUCUCCCCGCUCAACGGGGAAACGGCCAUUGAUACUGUAGGACUUGAAUUAUUAGGAAGUAACUAGAAUAUGUAGUGUAGCGGUGAAAUGCUUAGAGAUUACAUGGAAUACCAAUUGCGAAGGCAGGUUACUACUAAUGGAUUGACGCUGAUGGACGAAAGCGUGGGUAGCGAACAGGAUUAGAUACCCUGGUAGUCCACGCCGUAAACGAUGGAUACUAGCUGUUGGGCGCAAGUUCAGUGGCUAAGCGAAAGUGAUAAGUAUCCCACCUGGGGA
This 811-nucleotide ribosomal RNA is filed under the name uncultured bacterium. Its description in RNAcentral is "bacterial SSU rRNA". It matches the Rfam family "Bacterial small subunit ribosomal RNA", at positions 60 to 879 of the family's 1533-position model. The record is from RNAcentral.